RNAcentral lists this ribosomal RNA (316 nucleotides) under uncultured fungus. RNAcentral describes it as "SSU rRNA". It matches the Rfam family "Eukaryotic small subunit ribosomal RNA", at positions 1344 to 1680 of the family's 1831-position model. The record is from RNAcentral. Lineage: Eukaryota; Fungi.
UAACCUGCUAAAUAGCUGUAACAAUAGAUUAUUGUUUUGACAGCUUCUUAGAGGGACUAUCGAUUUUCAAGUCGAUGGAAGUUUGAGGCAAUAACAGGUCUGUGAUGCCCUUAGACGUUCUGGGCCGCACGCGCGCUACACUGACGGAGCCAGCGAGUCUAACCUGUGCCGAGAGGUAUGGGUAAUCUUGUGAAACUCCGUCGUGCUGGGGAUAGAGCAUUGCAAUUAUUGCUCUUCAACGAGGAAUUCCUAGUAAGCGCAAGUCAUCAGCUUGCGUUGAUUACGUCCCUGCCCUUUGUACACACCGCCCGUCGCU